UUAGGGGCUGUCACUGGAGUCCCCUCUUUGCUGAGGUAGUAUGUAUCAGCUGAGCUACUCUCUUGUUAUUUAGCCACCAGGGCUGGCCUUUAGAGAGGGAGCGAUUUUUAUUUGAGGUAUAGAUGCUGGCUUCUUCCACUAUGAAAUGAUUUAGGGAAAAGCUACACACUAAAGUUACUGGCAGUAUAUUAUACAUGAAUCAGCCACCUGCAGUGCCCAGAGUAGGUGAAGAAGAUACUUUAGUUCUCAAAAUCCCGUCUCUUGCUUUCUAGACAUUCACUACUUUCACUGCCUAAGAAUCCUGGACCUUCUCAAAGGCACAGAGGCCUCCACGAAGAAUAUUUUUGGCCGAUACUCUUCACAGCGGAUGAAGGAUUGGCAGGAGAUUAUAGCCCUGUAUGAGAAGGACAACACCUACUUAGGUAAAGUGGCCCGGCCUGGGAGCCCUGGUAUCCAUGGGGAAGCCCACUCUCAGAGUUCUGAGAUACCAGGCUUAUAGGAGGCACAGUCUGUGAGUGGGAAGAGACUGGAGUGUAGAUGUUGCCUGUUUGUAGGUG
RNAcentral lists this small RNA (557 nucleotides) under Pan troglodytes (chimpanzee). RNAcentral's name for it is "retained intron". The record is from RNAcentral. Lineage: Eukaryota; Metazoa; Chordata; Mammalia; Primates; Hominidae.